RNAcentral lists this unclassified non-coding RNA (607 nucleotides) under Hevea brasiliensis (rubber tree). Lineage: Eukaryota; Viridiplantae; Streptophyta; Magnoliopsida; Malpighiales; Euphorbiaceae. The record is from RNAcentral.
AUUUGAAGUGGAUUUGAGAUUUAGUGGUUUGUGGUGUUCGAACUCUCGAUAAUGUUGGAUAACAGUUGAUGUGUUAUUUAAGAAUCUCUAUUUAUUAUUGUUUUAAUUGGUUUUUGAGAUGGUGUUGGAUUGAUUUUAUUAGAUAUGUUGUGAAAUAUUUGUAGUCAGUUCUGAAAACUUGAUUCAUUAUUAAGGUGAUUGGGUAUUUGAUUAUUAUGGGGAUCCAUGGUGGGAAACUUAUGAAAUUUUUGUUGAAGUUUUCUUUUAUCUAGUAGUAUGUAUGUGCUCAGCUAAUACGGACUAGUUGGAUGUCCUUUAGGGCUUAUUUUAGAAUCUUUUAUUUUUCAUUGCAAAAUGCACAGAUAUGAAUUCCUGCAUUUAAAUGCAUAUUUUUGCCACUAUACGUCAUCCUUUUCCACUUUGAAUUCAAUAAACUGCAUGUUUUUCUGACAUGCAGCCUUAAUUUUCUACCUACUUCAAUACGUUAGCAUGGAAUUAGGCCCAAAAUUAUUUAAAAACAUGUAUAGGACAAUACUACAUUUAACUAGUGCGUGAAAGGGAAACAAUGGGGUCCCCAUUAUGUGGCUUCAAAUCCUAUGUUUUGGGG